UUGGCGCCUUCUGCGCGCUUGGGAUCCCGGAGCCUACCUAGGUUCUGCGUGCUCCCGCCCAGGCCGGUGCCCGCUGCCCGCCUGCGCCCCAGGCGGGUCUCAGGCCCCGGCUGCUCCCGGCCGAAGGUGGGGACGGGCAGUGGCAGGCACCGCUAGCGAGGGCGUUUGGGGACCCAGGGUGACCACAGCGCAGCCAUGGGGACCGCGCUUGUGUACCAUGAGGACAUGACGGCCACCCGGCUGCUCUGGGACGAGUAAGUGGGACCUGGCCGAGGUGGGGUGCGGGGAGGGACCUCUGGACUGAACUCCUCAUCUGCCCCAGCCCCGAGUGCGAGAUUGAGCGUCCUGAGCGCCUGACCGCAGCCCUGGACCGCCUGCGGCAGCGCGGCCUGGAACAGAGGUGUCUGCUGUUGUCAGCCCGCGAGGCCUCGGAAGAGGAGCUGGGCCUGGUGCACAGCCCAGAGUAUGUAUCCCUGGUCAGGGAGACCCAGGUCCUAGGCAAGGAGGAGCUGCAGGCGCUGUCCGGACAGUUCGACGCCAUCUGCUUCCACCCGAGUACCUUUCACUGUGCGCGGCUGGCCGCAGGGGCUGGACUGCAGCUGGUGGACGCUGUGCUCACGGGAGCUGUGCAAAAUGGGCUUGCCCUGGUGAGGCCCCCAGGGCACCACAGCCAGAGGGCGGCUGCCAACGGGUUCUGUGUGUUCAACAACGUGGCCAUAGCAGCUGCACAUGCCAAGCAGAAACACGGGCUACACAGG
RNAcentral lists this small RNA (758 nucleotides) under Pongo abelii (Sumatran orangutan). RNAcentral describes it as "processed transcript". The record is from RNAcentral. Lineage: Eukaryota; Metazoa; Chordata; Mammalia; Primates; Hominidae.